Oncorhynchus masou masou (cherry salmon) is the source of this 590-nucleotide long non-coding RNA. RefSeq lists it as uncharacterized. The record is from RefSeq and is a predicted model, not a curated record. NCBI's taxonomy places the organism in Eukaryota, Metazoa, Chordata, Actinopteri, Salmoniformes, Salmonidae. The transcript is spliced from 2 exons.
CAUCGUAGAGCUGGUCGACCUGCUCCAGGUAUUUCGACUCCAGUAGUUGCAGCUGGCACCACUGGGCCAUCUGAUCAAGGAGGAGUAACACUCUCAUGAGUCCUGCUCCCAGAGAUCAACCAAGUGCUAUUCACCAAGCAUGGGCUGAUUCACGGACCUGUGAGGAGAACCAUCCUACUGCAGUUUGAACUCGCCCUGCUGUCUCUAUUUAGACAUUGGGACCACAUAUGCCUGUUGUCUUUUCUUUGUGGAUUUUGUCUUGGACAGUCUAGGGCAUUUUAGAGUUGAAGUACACCCACCACAGAUACAUGUGCUUGUUUGAGCAUCUUUAUUCAUUGUCGUCUCUCACUUUUGUCUCCUUUGAUCUAUUCACCAAGUGCUGCCAUUUGAACUCGCCCUGCCGUCAGUCACUAUUUAGACAUUGAGACCACAUGUGUAUUUGCCUGUUGUCUUUUCUUUGUGGGUUGUCUUACACAGUCCAAGUACAUUUUGGAGUUGAAGAACACCGACGACAGAUGCAGCUGUCGCCCAAUUUUUCAGUUUUUGAUUUGUUAAAGUUUGAAAUAUCCAAUAAAUGUCGUUCCACUUCA